RNAcentral lists this long non-coding RNA (554 nucleotides) under Fukomys damarensis (Damara mole-rat). RNAcentral's name for it is "lncRNA (ENSFDAG00000030811.1)". Lineage: Eukaryota; Metazoa; Chordata; Mammalia; Rodentia; Bathyergidae. The record is from RNAcentral.
CUAAUAUGUUUAUUACUGGUGAAAAAUAAUUGAAUUCUGGAUGCUUUAUUAAGCUAGAGCUUUUAUAUUUUUGUGCUAAGGGAAAAAUGCAGGAAAGGAAACCUGCCGAUACUUCCAAGGUUUUUCUUUUAAUUAAGAAGAAAAAAAAGGUUGCUAUUUGCUGACACUAGAAAGGUUAGAAAGAAUGAAGUUUGACCGUGGGGACAUCAGAAGCUUUGAUCGGACACAUGAAAUGCUGUGUGAGAUACCGUUUGGACAUGCAAAUGUGGAUAAAACACUUAAAUGAAAUGUACUUCCAGAAAACUAUUGCGUAUGCUUAAGAAGUUCAGAGUAUCUCCUGCAACUAACGCUCAGAUACUGCUGAUUGUCUCCGCCCCUCACGUAAUGUCUUAGGCAGCUGUCUGGUGCUGGUUAUACCUGAGAACAGAGUUGUGUGUCUCUUCUCUCUGCCCUUUCUAUAUCUGAACUUGAUGUUUUAGGAGUUUUCACAGCCCUUCCUCAUGUCUACUGCUUUGAGAUUCUAUAUCUCACACGCUGCUGAACAAGUAACUGUG